Molecule: long non-coding RNA, 814 nt
Filed under: Gopherus agassizii (Agassiz's desert tortoise)
Lineage: Eukaryota; Metazoa; Chordata; Testudines; Testudinidae
Description: lncRNA (ENSGAGG00000013665.1)
Source: RNAcentral
CGAUUUUCCUUCUUGCAGCGGUCCCCCACCUCUCCUCCCCUCCUCCACCGAAGCACACUCGCAGGUCUCUCGUUUGGCUUCAUUUAUAAGGCAGUCUGGUUGCGGGGUUUUAUGCUGCGCCCCCCCCCCCUUUCCUCUCUCCCUUUGAAUCUAGAUUGGUUUGUUUUGCAGUUAAAGCCUUCCCUUUGAUUUCUCUCCCCCCACUCCCUUUCUGCUGCGGGCAGGAGGCUCUUGCUUAGCUGGGGCUCGCAUUUCCUCUCUCUCCUUCGCAGCCAGAAGCUCCGGAGCAGGAGGAGCCGCAGCUUCGACUGAUCCCUGGAAAAUUACGAGUUAGUGGUUUGGGGUUUUGUUUUUGGGCUCUUGUUUUUUUAACUUCAAGGACUGCAGCUAACUGGUCUCCUUGGAUAUUUCACUGUUGAAUUCCAUCUGAGUCCAGAGCCCCGUCUCUCUGGCUCCAUUCUUGUAGCUGGUUUCGUGGAAAAGUUAAAAUAAAGAGCAGUUGCCAAGAUCAUAGAGGGCCAAGAAAUGAUCAUAACCCUGGAGAGUAUAAAUAUCCAUGGCGAAGUUGUGUGAGAACAGCAUUCGUUGCUACCAGCUGCGCUGAGACCUUACAAUUCAUUGCACCUAGUGAUAGCUGUCAUUUCCCUCCCUCCCUGUUGGUAUUUUUAAAAUAUAUAAUUUAUUUUCCACAAGCAAGUUUUUGACGAGUUUUAGCUUCUGGUGGACUUGCUGAUUUUGAGAGGUAAGUGUUAAGUUUUAGCACUGGAUUUUUGACUGUUUUAAACCUUUUUUGUGUGUAUCAAAAAUCUCUGUG